Molecule: non-coding RNA, 82 nt
Organism: Pyronema omphalodes CBS 100304
Lineage: Eukaryota; Fungi; Ascomycota; Pezizomycetes; Pezizales; Pyronemataceae
Source: Rfam
UCCGAUAUGGUGUAGGGGUUAGCAUUGGUCGCUUUCAUUCAGGAGUGCCGACUAGACCCGGGUUCGAUUCCCGGUAUCGGAA